Molecule: long non-coding RNA, 247 nt
Filed under: Mytilus galloprovincialis (Mediterranean mussel)
Lineage: Eukaryota; Metazoa; Mollusca; Bivalvia; Mytilida; Mytilidae
Source: RNAcentral
GCCCAAAAGGGGCCAAAACAAGCAUUUUUCUAGUUUCAGGAUAAUAACUUGUGUACAUGUACAAGUAUUUCAAUUGCUCUGAAAUUAUACCUCUAUGUUUAAAACCACAAGUAGAAGGUUUGGAUUCAUUUUAAGGGUUAUGGGGCCAAAGUUUAGGAAUUAAGGGCCAAAAAGGGGCCAAAACAAGCAUUUUUCUAGUUUCCAGACAAUAACUUGUGUGUAAUUGUAUAGAUCUCUUUGAAAUUGU